Molecule: ribosomal RNA, 933 nt
Filed under: Triticum aestivum (bread wheat)
Lineage: Eukaryota; Viridiplantae; Streptophyta; Magnoliopsida; Poales; Poaceae
Description: partial small subunit ribosomal RNA
Source: RNAcentral
AUGGGUGCUUAUGAAAUUGAAUCUAUGUUUAAAGAGUUUGAUGAUAUUGAUGAUUCUUGUUAUAGAUCUGAAAAAUUAGCUAUCCUCAAAUAUUGCUAUGAGAAUUAUGAAUACAAUUAUGAAAUUAAUGCACUUAUUAAGAAAGUCUCCGAUGUCCAAGAAGAGACUAAUAUUUUGCAAGAAUCUAUGGAAGAAGAAAUUGAUGAAACUGUGAGCUCAUUGGAUGAAAAAGAUGAUGAGGAGAGCGAAGAACAAAAGGAGGAAGAGUGGAUUGAUCACCCAUGCCCACCUUCUAAUGAGUGUAACUCUUCAACUCAUACAUUGUUUAAUUCCCCUUCGUGCUUACCGAAGGAUGAUUGCUAUGAUGACUGUUAUGAUCCCUAUGAUUCUUUUGAAAUAUCCCUUUUUGAUGAUACUUGCUAUGCUUGUGGCCAAGAUGCCAAUAUGAAUGAUGCUUAUGGAGAUGAACUUGCUAUAGUUCCUUAUGUUAAACAUGAAAUUGUUGCUAUUGCACCCACGCAUGAUAGUCCUAUUAUCUUUUUGAAUUCUCCAAACUACACUAUAUCGGAGAAGUUUGCCCUUAUUAAGGAUUAUAUUGAUGGGUUGCCUUUUACCAUUGCACAUGAUGAUUUUGAUAGAUAUAAUAUGCAUGUGCUUGCUGCUCCUACCUGCAAUUAUUAUGAGAGAGGAACUAUAUCUCCACCUCUCUAUGUUUCUAACAUGAUAAAAUUGCAUGAAACUGUUUAUACUAUGCAUUGGCCUUUACUAGGUGUGCAUGAAUUGUUCUUUUAUGACAUGCCGAUGCAUAGGAAGAGAGUUAGACUUCGUCAUUACAUGAUAUAUGUUACUUUGUGCUCACUACUAAAUUACAAAUCAUUGCUAAUUAAAAUUGGCUUUGAUAUACCUUGGGAUCUGGGUGGAUUCAUUACUUGA